UGAGGAAUUUUGCGCAAUGGGGGAAACCCUGACGCAGCAACGCCGCGUGAGUGAUGAAGGCUUUCGGGUCGUAAAGCUCUGUCAAGUGGGAAGAAUCUGUCCAGUGAUAAUACCGCUGGACAAUGACGGUACCGCUGAAGGAAGCACCGGCUAACUCCGUGCCAGCAGCCGCGGUAAUACGGGGGGUGCUAGCGUUAUUCGGAAUCAUUGGGCGUAAAGGGCGCGUAGGCGGUCUUUUAAGUCAGAUGUGAAAGCCCUCGGCUUAACCGAGGAAGUGCAUUUGAUACUAAGAGACUUGAGUAUGGGAGAGGGAAGCGGAAUUCCUGGUGUAGCGGUGAAAUGCGUAGAUAUCAGGAGGAACACCGGUGGCGAAGGCGGCUUCCUGGACCAAUACUGACGCUGAGGCGCGAAGGCGUGGGGAGCAAACAGG
Molecule: ribosomal RNA, 430 nt
Filed under: uncultured Desulfococcus sp.
Lineage: Bacteria; Pseudomonadati; Thermodesulfobacteriota; Desulfobacteria; Desulfobacterales; Desulfococcaceae
Description: bacterial SSU rRNA
Rfam family: Bacterial small subunit ribosomal RNA
Source: RNAcentral